UUGAAUAAACUUGGUCAAGCUGUUGCUGGUCCUUCGGGGCAUGUGCACGCUUGCCACUUUUAUAACCACCUGUGCACCUUUUGUAGACUAGAAACGUUUCUCGAGGCAACUCGGAUUGAGAACUGCUGUGCGCAAGCCAGCUGUUCUUGUGUUUCUCAGUCUAUGUUUUCAUAUACUCCAAAUGUAUGUAUCUGAAUGUAUUGCUGGGCCUUAGUGCCUUUAAAACAAAUA
This 231-nucleotide unclassified non-coding RNA is filed under the name uncultured Clitopilus. Its description in RNAcentral is "sequence contains ITS1". The record is from RNAcentral. Lineage: Eukaryota; Fungi; Basidiomycota; Agaricomycetes; Agaricales; Entolomataceae.